Molecule: ribosomal RNA, 301 nt
Filed under: uncultured bacterium
Lineage: Bacteria
Description: partial 16S ribosomal RNA
Rfam family: Bacterial small subunit ribosomal RNA
Source: RNAcentral
CAGCCGCCACGGGAAUACGUAGGUGGCAAGCGUUGUCCGGAAUUAUUGGGCGUAAAGGGCUCGCAGGCGGUUUCUUAAGUCUGAUGUGAAAGCCCCCGGCUCAACCGGGGAGGGUCAUUGGAAACUGGGAAACUUGAGUGCAGAAGAGGAGAGUGGAAUUCCACGUGUAGCGGUGAAAUGCGUAGAGAUGUGGAGGAACACCAGUGGCGAAGGCGACUCUCUGGUCUGUAACUGACGCUGAGGAGCGAAAGCGUGGGGAGCGAAUAGGAUUAGAUACCCCAGUAGUCCCUGUCUCUUAUAC